RNAcentral lists this ribosomal RNA (500 nucleotides) under uncultured bacterium. Its description in RNAcentral is "partial 16S ribosomal RNA". It matches the Rfam family "Bacterial small subunit ribosomal RNA", at positions 30 to 523 of the family's 1533-position model. The record is from RNAcentral.
AUUGAACGCUGGCGGCAUGCCUUACACAUGCAAGUCGAACGGUAACGGGUCCUUCGGGAUGCCGACGAGUGGCGAACGGGUGAGUAAUAUAUCGGAACGUGCCCAGUAGUGGGGGAUAACUGCUCGAAAGAGCAGCUAAUACCGCAUACGAACUGAGGGCGAAAGGGGGGGAUCGCAAGACCUACCGCUAUUGGAGCGGCCGAUAUCAGAUUAGCUAGUUGGUGGGGUAAAGGCCUACCAAGGCAACGAUCUGUAGUUGGUCUGAGAGGACGACCAGCCACACUGGGACUGAGACACGGCCCAGACUCCUACGGGAGGCAGCAGUGGGGAAUUUUGGACAAUGGGCGCAAGCCUGAUCCAGCAAUGCCGCGUGCAGGAAGAAGGCCUUCGGGUUGUAAACUGCUUUUGUCAGGGAAGAAAUCUUCUGGGCUAAUACCCCGGGAGGAUGACGGUACCUGAAGAAUAAGCACCGGCUAACUACGUGCCAGCAGCCGCCGUAA